GGAGAGUCCCUUUAAGUUUGCUAGAAAAUCCUGGUCUUUGCAAAUUCUGCAAUGUUCUUUCACCAAACUACGUGAUCGCCAGGAUCAUUCUCAUGUAUUUUACAGAGCACUUCUCAGCCUGCCCCACAUGUGGUGUAUUAGGUACACAGCCAAGUGUUCUGGGAGUUGUAGUUCAAUUGUUGUCUUUCUACAUUAGAAUGCUAACUGCUAAAGUUCAAAU
This is a non-coding RNA of Pelobates cultripes (western spadefoot toad), 220 nucleotides long. The record is from the annotation of a GenBank genome assembly. NCBI's taxonomy places the organism in Eukaryota, Metazoa, Chordata, Amphibia, Anura, Pelobatidae.